RNAcentral lists this ribosomal RNA (503 nucleotides) under uncultured bacterium. RNAcentral describes it as "partial 16S ribosomal RNA". It matches the Rfam family "Bacterial small subunit ribosomal RNA", at positions 30 to 523 of the family's 1533-position model. The record is from RNAcentral.
AUUGAACGCUGGCGGCAGGCUUAACACAUACAAGUCGAGCGGGGUGAUGGUGCUUGCACUAUCACUUAGCGGCGGACGGGUGAGUAAUGCUUAGGAAUCUGCCUAUUAGUGGGGGACAACAUCUCGAAAGGGAUGCUAAUACCGCAUACGUCCUACGGGAGAAAGCAGGGGAUCACUUGUGACCUUGCGCUAAUAGAUGAGCCUAGGUCGGAUUAGCUAGUUGGUGGGGUAAAGGCCUACCAAGGCGACGAUCUGUAGCGGGUCUGAGAGGAUGAUCCGCCACACUGGGACUGAGACACGGCCCAGACUCCUACGGGAGGCAGCAGUGGGGAAUAUUGGACAAUGGGGGGAACCCUGAUUCAGCCAUGCCGCGUGUGUGAAGAAGGCCUUAUGGUUGUAAAGCACUUUAAGCGAGGAGGAGGCUCUUUUGGUUAAUACCCAAGAUGAGUGGACGUUACUCGCAGAAUAAGCACCGGCUAACUCUGUGCCAGCCGCCGCCGUAA